Molecule: long non-coding RNA, 1966 nt
Organism: Piliocolobus tephrosceles (Ugandan red Colobus)
Lineage: Eukaryota; Metazoa; Chordata; Mammalia; Primates; Cercopithecidae
Source: Ensembl
AUGAUAAAACAAAGUAAAAAAAGAAAAAAUGAGUUCGACGGUUCGAUCGAAACGAAUAAAGGAAUAAAUAAAAAGUUUGAUAAAGAUAUAAUUUAUGAACAAAUACAUUCUUUACCAACACAAAAUAAUCCUAGAUGUUUAGUCAGUUCAAAUCCAAAAGACAAUUUGUUAAAUUAUUUUUCUACAAUAAUAAAAUUUAAAUAUAAUGAUAACAAUUUUAAAAAAAAAUGGUAUACACAUUUGUACAAAAUAUGUCUCCAAAAUGAUAAUAAACAUACAACUUAUGAUAAAAACAUUAAAAAUCAUAAACACAAAAAUAAAAAUAAAAACGCAUAUACAACAUAUGAAAACAAUAUAGAUAAUACAUUAAACAAAUUUCAAGGAUUGGUAGUUAGAAAAUUAAAUUGUGAAACUUUAUAUUAUCAAAAAAUUUUAGUAAUUUUUGCUUUAUUAUUCGAUUUAUACCACAAUAAAAAAAAUGUUGUAUCUACACAAAAAAAAUUAUUAACAUGGGACGAAAAAUCAUUAAUGUUAGAUGAAGGUACUAACAAUAUAUAUGAUGAACGGACUACCAACAAUGGACAAAAUGCAGAUAACAAGUCGAUAUGCAAUAAUACCAGUAAUAAUACCACUAAUAAUACCAGUAAUAAUACCACUAAUAAUACCACUAAUAAUACCACUAAUAAUACCAGUAAUAAUACUAGUAAUAAUAAUAAUAAUAAUACCACCAUAGGAAAACUAAUUCAACCUAGUAUUUUUGGAAAUAAUAUUACUAGUGGUAAUCAGAACCCUUUUAACAAAACAGGUGACAUGUUUUCUACGAACAAUAACUUGAAGAAUAAUACCAAUAUAAGUACUACUGUUAAUAUGGGGAUAACAGGAUUAAAUAAUAACAAUAGUAGUAAUACAUUUUUUGGAUUUGGUAACAAUAAUAUAUUAGGUGUCCAAAAUAAUAAUAAUAAUACAAACAUAAAUACAACAGACACAGGAAAUAAUAACAAAACAAACGAAUUAAACAAAAGUACGAUCAAUUUAUUUGGUUCUACAAAUAGACCAACUAAUAAUCCUAAUUAUGCCGAAUUAUUCACUAAUGAAACAGGAUCAAAAGAAUUAUUUAAAGACCUAAAACUUAGUAACGAUACAGGUUCUAAAUUUAGUGUUAAUAAAAGACCUUUAUUUGGUAGUAGAGCCAAAGAAACGAAUAUGUUAGUAUCUAAUAGUGCUACUACUAAUCUUGCUAGUAGAACUACUGACUUAAAUAGUACAAAUAAUAUCUUUAGUUCUUCUUAUGUAAAUAGAGACAAUUUAUUAACUAGUCAGGAAAAACCUAUGAAAGUUAUAUUUGGUCAACACAAUAAUACUACCACUAACAAUAACAACGUUUCUAAUACUGGCAUAGGUAGUAGAAAUAAAACUACUGGUUUUGGUAUAACAUCAGGUAGUUCCAUAUUUGGUGCAACAUCUAAUAAUAUGGCAAACAAUAACAAUCUUAUGAAUUCUUUAACAAAUAAUGUUGUUAAGGGUGGUAUAUUUAAUCAAGAAAACAACAGUAACAACAACGGCAGUGGCAUUAUUAGUGAUAAUAAUAAUAAUAAUAAUGUCAUUGCACAAUCAGAAACAAAUAAAUUCACUUUUAAUGCAUCUUCAACUAGUAAUUUAUUUGGAAACAGUAUGAAUAUGUUUGGAAAAAAUAAUAAAGAAACUACUGAUGGUAGUACUACUAAUACUAUUAACAAUCAUUUGACACUUUUUGGAAAUAAUACAAAAAAUAAUUUAUUGGAUACAAAUAACACCGAUAGUUCACUAACCACAAGUGGUAAUAAUCUAUUUCGUAAUUUAAAUAAUAAUACUACAACAAACCAAAUAAAUAAUGCAUCAGUUUUAAAUAUACCAACAAAAAAAUUAACCUUAGAAGAAAGAAAAAAAAAAAACUGCUAAAAAUAAAAGUAUUGUUUCAUUAUUUUCA